AUUGAACGCUGGCGGCAUGCCUUACACAUGCCAGUCGAACGGUAACGGGCCUUCGGGUGCCGACGAGUGGCGAACGGGUGAGUAGUACAUCGGAACGUGCCCGAUCGUGGGGGAUAACGAGGCGAAAGCUUUGCUAAUACCGCAUACGAUCUACGGAUGAAAGCAGGGGACCGCAAGGCCUUGCGCGGACGGAGCGGCCGAUGGCAGAUUAGGUAGUUGGUGGGAUAAAAGCUUACCAAGCCGACGAUCUGUAGCUGGUCUGAGAGGAUGAUCAGCCACACUGGGACUGAGACACGGCCCAGACUCCUACGGGAGGCAGCAGUGGGGAAUUUUGGACAAUGGGCGCAAGCCUGAUCCAGCCAUGCCGCGUGCAGGAUGAAGGCCUUCGGGUUGUAAACUGCUUUUGUACGGAACGAAAAGCCUUCUUUUAAUACAGGAGGGUCAUGACGGUACCGUAAGAAUAAGCACCGGCUAACUACGUG
This 482-nucleotide ribosomal RNA is filed under the name uncultured bacterium. RNAcentral describes it as "partial 16S ribosomal RNA". It matches the Rfam family "Bacterial small subunit ribosomal RNA", at positions 30 to 507 of the family's 1533-position model. The record is from RNAcentral.